RNAcentral lists this ribosomal RNA (253 nucleotides) under uncultured bacterium. Its description in RNAcentral is "partial 16S ribosomal RNA". It matches the Rfam family "Bacterial small subunit ribosomal RNA", at positions 524 to 776 of the family's 1533-position model. The record is from RNAcentral.
UACGUAGGGUGCAAGCGUUAAUCGGAAUUACUGGGCGUAAAGCGUGCGCAGGCGGCUUUGCAAGACAGAUGUGAAAUCCCCGGGCUUAACCUGGGAACUGCAUUUGUGACUGCAAGGCUAGAGUACGGCAGAGGGGGAUGGAAUUCCGCGUGUAGCAGUGAAAUGCGUAGAUAUGCGGAGGAACACCGAUGGCGAAGGCAAUCCCCUGGACCUGUACUGACGCUCAUGCACGAAAGCGUGGGGAGCAAACAGG